ACCUAGCGGCGGACGGGUGAGUAAUGCUUAGGAAUCUGCCUAUUAGUGGGGGACAACAUUCCGAAAGGAAUGCUAAUACCGCAUACGCCCUACGGGGGAAAGCAGGGGAUCUUCGGACCUUGCGCUAAUAGAUGAGCCUAAGUCAGAUUAGCUAGUUGGUGGGGUAAAGGCCUACCAAGGCGACGAUCUGUAGCGGGUCUGAGAGGAUGAUCCGCCACACUGGGACUGAGACACGGCCCAGACUCCUACGGGAGGCAGCAGUGGGGAAUAUUGGACAAUGGGCGAAAGCCUGAUCCAGCCAUGCCGCGUGUGUGAAGAAGGCCUUUUGGUUGUAAAGCACUUUAAGCGAGGAGGAGGCUACUUGGAUUAAUACUCUAGGAUAGUGGACGUUACUCGCAGAAUAAGCACCGGCUAACUCUGUGCCAGCAGCCGCGGUAAUACAGAGGGUGCGAGCGUUAAUCGGAUUUACUGGGCGUAAAGCGUGCGUAGGCGGCUUUUUAAGUCGGAUGUGAAAUCCCUGAGCUUAACUUAGGAAUUGCAUUCGAUACUGGGAAGCUAGAGUAUGGGAGAGGAUGGUAGAAUUCCAGGUGUAGCGGUGAAAUGCGUAGAGAUCUGGAGGAAUACCGAUGGCGAAGGCAGCCAUCUGGCCUAAUACUGACGCUGAGGUACGAAAGCAUGGGGAGCAAACAGGAUUAGAUACCCUGGUAGUCCAUGCCGUAAACGAUGUCUACUAGCCGUUGGGGCCUUU
RNAcentral lists this ribosomal RNA (748 nucleotides) under Acinetobacter sp. RNAcentral describes it as "bacterial SSU rRNA". It matches the Rfam family "Bacterial small subunit ribosomal RNA", at positions 90 to 833 of the family's 1533-position model. The record is from RNAcentral. Lineage: Bacteria; Pseudomonadati; Pseudomonadota; Gammaproteobacteria; Moraxellales; Moraxellaceae.